UACGUAGGGUGCGGGCGUUAAUCGGAAUUACUGGGCGUAAAGCGUGCGCAGGCGGCCUCUUAAGUCAGAUGUGAAAUCCCCGGGCUUAACCUGGGAACUGCGUUUGAAACUGGGAGGCUAGAGUGUGGAAGAGGGGGGUGGAAUUCCAGGUGUAGCAGUGAAAUGCGUAGAGAUCUGGAGGAACACCGAUGGCGAAGGCAGCCCCCUGGGCUGACACUGACGCUUAUGCACGAAAGCGUGGGGAGCAAACAGG
Molecule: ribosomal RNA, 253 nt
Filed under: uncultured bacterium
Lineage: Bacteria
Description: partial 16S ribosomal RNA
Rfam family: Bacterial small subunit ribosomal RNA
Source: RNAcentral